GUCAGGAUGGCCGAGUGGUCUAAGGCGCCAGACUCAAGUUCUGGUCCUCUAACGAUGGCUUGGGUUCAAAUCCCACUUCUGACA
Molecule: transfer RNA, 84 nt
Filed under: Oryza rufipogon (brownbeard rice)
Lineage: Eukaryota; Viridiplantae; Streptophyta; Magnoliopsida; Poales; Poaceae
Rfam family: tRNA
About the family: Transfer RNA (tRNA) molecules are approximately 80 nucleotides in length.
Source: Rfam by way of RNAcentral